Molecule: ribosomal RNA, 497 nt
Filed under: uncultured bacterium
Lineage: Bacteria
Description: partial 16S ribosomal RNA
Rfam family: Bacterial small subunit ribosomal RNA
Source: RNAcentral
GAUGAACGCUGGCGGCGUGCCUAAUACAUGCAAGUCGAGCGAACAGAUAAGGAGCUUGCUCCUUUGACGUUAGCGGCGGACGGGUGAGUAACACGUGGAUAACCUACCUAUAAGACUGGGAUAACUUCGGGAAACCGGAGCUAAUACCGGAUAACAUAUUGAACCGCAUGGUUCAAUAGUGAAAGGCGGCUUUGCUGUCACUUAUAGAUGGAUCCGCGCCGUAUUAGCUAGUUGGUAAGGUAACGGCUUACCAAGGCAACGAUACGUAGCCGACCUGAGAGGGUGAUCGGACACACUGGAACUGAGACACGGUAAAGACUCCUACGGGAGGCAGCAGUAGGGAAGCUUCCGCAAUGGGCGAAAGCCUGACGGAGCAACGCCGCGUGAGUGAUGAAGGUCUUCGGAUCGUAAAACUCUGUUAUCAGGGAAGAAAAAAUGUGUAAGUAACUGUGCACAUCUUGACGGUACCUGAUCAGAAAGCCACGGCUAACUACGUG